Prevotella bivia DSM 20514 is the source of this 100-nucleotide regulatory RNA element. It matches the Rfam family "engA RNA". The record is from Rfam. Lineage: Bacteria; Pseudomonadati; Bacteroidota; Bacteroidia; Bacteroidales; Prevotellaceae.
GCUCUAACUAGCACGUAGGGCUAACUCUCGCAGAGUGCGAGGGCUGAGGAAUGGUCUCCUCGGCAAUAUUAUUUAAGGUGCGUGACCUCACCUUAGCCGC